This 125-nucleotide small RNA is filed under the name Shigella dysenteriae. RNAcentral describes it as "RtT sRNA". It matches the Rfam family "RtT RNA". Rfam says of the family: This family represents a bacterial cis-regulatory element known as RtT RNA. Lineage: Bacteria; Pseudomonadati; Pseudomonadota; Gammaproteobacteria; Enterobacterales; Enterobacteriaceae. The record is from RNAcentral.
AUUCUGCCCAAGCGGGGAAGGAUGAGAAGCUUCGACCAAGGUUCGACUUGAGCGCCAACGAGAGAGCGUUGCCGCAGGCAACGACCCGAAGCGCGCAGCGCUGAGUAAUCCUUCCCCCACCACCA